Zea mays is the source of this 1691-nucleotide RNA transcript. RefSeq lists it as uncharacterized. The record is from RefSeq and is marked validated. The transcript has 7 exons. Lineage: Eukaryota; Viridiplantae; Streptophyta; Magnoliopsida; Poales; Poaceae.
CUCCUCUCCCGACUUCCCGAGUCCCGCUACGCAGCCGUCGCCUCCUACUCCCUUUGCGACUCCUCGCCCACAUCCAGCACUUGCACAUCAGCAACCUCAACCGCAAGGGAGGUGGCGAGGCUGAGCGCCAGCCGCCAUGUCUGUCCCCGGCGUCGCCUCCCCGAUCGCCGACCGCUUCUACUGCCCCCCACCGCACCGCCACCUCCUUGACAAGCAACACAGACAGCAUCCGCCACUAACUGCCUCGGCGGCCGAGGAGCCGGCGAAGCCGACGCCGGAGCUCGGGCGAGACCCUUCCCCGUCGCCUUCGCCGGCUACCAACCUCGAGAGUUUCAUCGCCUCCACCGCCGUCCGCGUUCCCGCGCGGUGCUCUCCUCGAACGCCGGGGUGCCGGGCAGGAGCGCCGUACUACGAGCUCGCGGAUCUGUGGGAGGCGUUCGGGGAGUGGAGCGCGUACGGCGCCGGCGUGCCGCUGCUGCUCAAUGGCACGGAUGGCGUCGUGCAGUACUACGUGCCAUUCCUGUCCGCUAUCCAGCUCUAUGGGUCGCGGCUGCCGUCGUCGAGCAAGACCAAGAGGUUGUGAUUGAACUGACCAGAUGAACGAUUCAUCGUCUGAACUGUUCUGACUGUGUUCACUAAUGCUGCAGAUACCUUAAUGAAGGCAGUGAUGGUGACAAUGCUCCAGAAACAAGCAGUGAUGUAAGCAAUGAGAGUGACAAUGACAAUGACAAUGAAAGGUCUAUUGGAAGAACAACCCAAUGUUUAGUAGAAAAUAUUUGCACCGAUCAAGAAAGGUUGUCCAGUGAUGACUGUGAUUCCAGUAACCAGGAACCUCCCCCUGUUUUCCAAUAUAUGGAGCAUGAUGCACCAUAUGGAAGACAACCAUUAGCAGAUAUGAUUUCAGUAUUUGCAUGUAAGUUUCCUGAUCUAAAUACAUACAAGAGCUGUGAUCUUCUCCCGUCCAGUUGGAUCUCUGUAGCCUGGUAUCCCAUAUACCGGAUACCAACAGGACCUACGCUACAAGAUCUAGAUGCUUGCUUUUUAACAUUCCAUUCAUUGUCAACAACACCUGAUGGUACGAUAAGCGGUUGUCCUGAGACAAAUAACUUACAUAACAGUAAAGUUGCUUCUGUUCCUGGGAAGAUCACACUGCCUCUGAUCGGCCUAGCAUCUUACAAAUUAAAUGGUUCCUUGUGGACGUCAAAUCAGCACCAUGAGCAGCAGUUGACUACGUCGCUUCUGAAAGCUGCUGAUGACUGGCUUUGCCAGCGGCAAGUAGAUCACCCAGAUUACCGCUUCUUCCUCACACACUAAAUUGGAUGUCCAUCCAAACUACCUACCUACUGAACAUCACAGCUCGAUGCCCACUAUUUUAUUCAAUGAACUUACAUUAUCACUUUAUAUAGUCCACAAUCACAAGUACCAGUAUGCUCUGUAAUAUCAUUUUUGGGGCUUAGUUUAUGUUAGUCCCAUAUUGGUAUCUAGGCAGGAUUAGUUGGUGACUGUUUUGGGGUUGUACUGUAGGAACCAAUUAGACAUAGAUCACCUAUAUUACGUUCAGUACCAAUUGCGGGUGUGGGUGAUCUGCAAUCGGGCUAAGUAGGAGAUUGAUUGGCAAUAUACAUUUGGCGUACUUCAAAGGCGGUUCUAGGAUAUAUUGAUGAUGGCGAUAAAAAUAUUUUUCUACUUCC